Molecule: RNA transcript, 3740 nt
Organism: Spinacia oleracea (spinach)
Lineage: Eukaryota; Viridiplantae; Streptophyta; Magnoliopsida; Caryophyllales; Amaranthaceae
Exons: 5
Source: RefSeq, a predicted model, not a curated record
CCCAUCCUCCUCUCAAACGUUCUUCCUAGUCCCUAAAAAAAACAUAACUCCAAAUCCUAACCCUUCCCCGGACCUUGAUUUAGAAAACCUCAGUAUAAUAUUCCAAAUUCUUGUGUGUUCUGUAUCUCCUUCCUCCUCCUCACCCUGCUCCCAAAACCCUUCGAGAAAAGCAUCAUCGUUGUUGUAUUUAUAGUUGAUCUAUACUCGGAGGCGCUUGUUCCAACAACCUCUCCUUCUCUGCGGCUGCUGUUCUUGGCUGAAUUCUGGUUAGGGGAAAUACAGGAGCCAACCGAUAAAAGUGUUUGUUGAAAGAGGUGAGCAAGAUCCUAUUCCUAGCCUCUAUUGUUGCGAUCUCUACGCGUUUCUAAGGAAGGACUCCUUCAUAUAACCUAUGGGAAAAGAUGUUAAAGCAACUCCUGUGUUUGAGUUAUCUUCAUUUACCGUAACAAAUGAUGUAUUCAAUAAUCUUCAGGAUGAAAACGGGUGUGCGUGUAUUGAACUUUAUGGUCACAUCAAAUUUAUUGAUGAUAAUUCUGAUGAGUACAUUCUGUUUGAUUGUGAUCCUAGUGAUCCAGCGAUUGUUUAUUUAUCGGACAAUAAUUCGGUACUCCUCAGAGAAUCUAUAUUUAACCCGCCUUAUUGGUCUUAUUGGAUGCAUAGAUUCUCUUUGAUAAUUUAUCUAAAAGAUAAGCGUAGAGAUAUUGUAGUUGUGGAUAGUACCAAAGACUUUGAUUUCGCCUUUAUGGAUGUUUACGAUGUAAACGAAGGUUGUUGGAAGAUAGAAACCCCCAUGUGUGGACUUAUUUCAGUGCAUUACAGAAUUCUCCCAUACGCAGUCUAUGCUCAUGUGGAUGUUGAAGUUGUUGACUAUAAUGGUAGUAGAAGAAGUCAUACAAAUGAAGAUUGUGAUAAGCCUUUGAAGAGUGAAGACCUGUGUCAGGCUGUUGUGACCGGUAAAAUUUCUUCUACUUGUAAGACACAGGAUAAGAGGUGUAUUUCGCGAGUGAUAUUUGAUGAGAGUUGUUAUGAUCCUGCAAAUUUGACUCCUACCGACCUGCUUUGGAUCUGUUGGUUGGCCGUUCCAGCUUAUUCUCGGAAGCUUAGAAUUGAAGUAGACUUAGAAGUUGACGGCGAAAAGAUAGGGAGUGGUCACGUUUUGGAUUUCGACGUCAAAGACAUCUGUGUGGAAACUGAAAAGGCAAUUAAGGAACAAAAUUGGUCCAUCAUAGUGAGGGUGGACUGGAAGCAUGCAUAUUCUUUCAUUACCAAAGAAUAUUUUAAUCGGAUUGACCCUAAGCUUUUUGUUGAAGGAGCAUCUGCUACAGAAAGUGAAGGUCAUUCAACGUUUUCAAAAGUUUCAAAUAGAGAAUUACAUCUAGAGGUCUUUCCUGAUAUAUACGACCCUAGCUCAGUGAGCCCUACAGAUAUGAGCACUAAGGGGAUGGUACGUGAUCCUAUACCUUUGUUCUUUCCAUACAACCACAGUCUUGUGGAGAUUUUCUCAGUUUCUAUUACUCCUCCUCGCGAAAAAUGUUGGAAACUCUGUGGAGAAGUCGAGUGUACUGAUACAUUUGAGACGUAUAAUAUCUUUUGCAAAGAAGGGGAAGAAUAUGUUGAGGUGAGUUACUCUAAAAAUACCUUGCCAUUACAGGAGCCUUGUAGUUGUUAUGUGGGUGGAAAUUUAUGUUUAGAUAUUCUCCUAAGAAAUAGUCAAGGCUUUGAAAUCAGCAAUGGUUACGUGUCAUGGUAUGAAUUUCAAGUUACUAAUUGGUACGACCAACGUAUAUGUUCAAUAGUUCGUGGCAAAUACGGUUUUGCAGCGGUUCAUUAUACUAUAUUUUCGAUGGCAGCACAAGCUGGAGUUACGAUUGUUUUAAAUUCCAACGAUGGUUGUUCUCGUAUGAUUCGUGGGAACAUCUUUGGUCGUUAUAGUGGUUAUAGAUAUCACACUUACUACGAGAAGAAAUAUUUUCAAAGUAAGUUGUAUGAAAACUGUGUGGAGGUAAAUAAUGCAGAGAAAUUACCAUUGUCAAAAUCUGUUGUUGCAGUGCCGGUGAAUCACUCGCUUAUUCUUGAAGCAUAUAUUCAAGUUGGUAAGCUUGGCAAGAAUUUUCAAGAUGAAUAUUUCAAGGGUCAGGUUACAUUUAAGCCGGUUUUGACUGAACCUCCUGAGGUUCAGUCUAGCCAUCAGACAAUUUAUGGAGAAGACUUCAGUUUAUCAGUUUUAGUUAAUUGGGGGUAAAAAAAAUCUAUAUCUCUAAAUAAGCAAUACAAAUAUUUUGGUAAAAUAUUACAGAGCAUAUCAAAUUAUCAAUUACCUAGUGUGGCCGCUUCUCCCCUCUGUCCCUCUUUUUUCUCUCUUUUUAGGGUAUUUAAAAAUUAGGGUUUUUUAGGACGGAAAUAGCCAAUUUUCUUUGGAAAUUUGGUUAUUUUCCCCUCUUCUCUUUCAUUCUGUUGUGUUUUUGCGUUAGAUAUCAAUAAAACUACAUAGUUUCAGUGUAGUAAGUACCCCUAUGGUGGGUUUGAUUGUUUCGGUGUAGUAAGUACCCCUAUGGUGGGUUUGUUUUUAGUUAAGUUUUGUGUGUUUAGUUUAGUUCAGGUUGUUUAUUUGGUAAAGCCUUAUGCGGGAUUGAAGAGGAUGUCAAUCUUUCGACUACAAUCAGACGAAUCAGACGGAAAUCAUAUUAGUCACAGCCACAACAGAUCUAUAGACCCCCUCGUCAAUGAAGACGGUAAAUCACAUUGAUAUAAAAAAGGGUAUACAGAAUGUUUGAUAUACUACGAUCGUAGUUAUGGUGAAAAGAAGUUUUUAUUUGAUUCGAUUGCUAUGUAUUUGUUAGAUUUAAAUCUUUAUGUAGAUGCCGUAUGACUUUUUAUCAAUGAAUUAAUUUGUUUAUAAAAAAAAAGUUGAUUGAGGGUAACAAGUUAGUCUUCUUUUUGUUGCAUUGUCAUUAUUCACACAUAUUUCGUAUUCUUUAUGACUUGAUCUUUACCAUUUAUUUUGUACAUCUUUGAAAAAAUUUAACUGUUUAGACAAAUAUCUUCAUCACGUGCCGAAGGAUAUGUAUAUUGAUGUUGCAGAUAUUCACAUAAUUAAUUGAUGAUAUUCUUUUUUUUAUUUUCCAUUUUGAAAUCCCAAACCUUUAAAAUGCAUGAACUCAAAACACUAUGCUUAACAAUAGUGUAUUGAGUCACAUUUAGGUGAAAUUCACUAUUCAUAAGGAAAGUUUUUAUUUUCCUUCCCUUUAAAAGCUCUAUCAGCCUUGCUCAAUCAACCAAGGUUCGAUUCUUGGUCCUUGCAUAUUUCCAAAAUAUUUUGCUAUCCCUUUUCUCCUUUCCUUUCUUUCUUCUGAUCCACCUCCUGGAUCGUUUUCAAUUUCUAACCUAAGCUCCUCUCUCCUCUCACCUCCGCCCCCUCUCCUCAAAUCAAACUCCACAACGAGCCACCAAAUUCCGAUCUUCCCACCACCAUUCAUGUGCCGUUCGUCACAGACUUAACCAGGUGGUGGCGGUGCUGCGUUCGAGCUGAAUCGUUUCUUCGGCGGCGGAUUUUUUUUCCUGUUGGAACACCAAGACGCAACUCAAUUUCAGUUGGAGUUGAAGCUUUGAUUUUUUGGUUGGAGUUGAAGCUUUGGUAAUUCUACAGGAACUCAAAUGGCCAUUUGUAUCAGUGUUUAGAGUUUGUCUUGCCUUUAAGAAGGAUUAGGGGAAGACGACGUUGACUGAACGAGUUCUGUUUU